CAAAAAAUUCCAAGAUCACUAAUAAAUUUAUUACAGCGUGAUGGUAUCAACAUUAUAAAAGCGAAUGGCGAACAAUUACGACAAAUGAGAAACUUUUAUCGGGAAAUAGUGAUGGCGAAAUCCGGAGGUGAACUGUGUUUUUCAUCAAAUAAAACUAAACGAACUCAAAUUAACACAAAUUCUGAAAUUUCGCCACUGAUUUUACCUACAUGGGUAAAACGUACGGAAAAGGAAACUACAAUUGUGGAAUAAAUUAUCAUUCAAUGUUUAA
Tribolium castaneum (red flour beetle) is the source of this 271-nucleotide long non-coding RNA. RefSeq lists it as uncharacterized. Lineage: Eukaryota; Metazoa; Arthropoda; Insecta; Coleoptera; Tenebrionidae. The record is from RefSeq and is a predicted model, not a curated record. The transcript has 2 exons.